RNAcentral lists this ribosomal RNA (596 nucleotides) under Gymnodiniaceae sp. ZH-2018a. RNAcentral's name for it is "partial large subunit ribosomal RNA". It matches the Rfam family "Eukaryotic large subunit ribosomal RNA", at positions 345 to 893 of the family's 3401-position model. Lineage: Eukaryota; Dinophyceae; Gymnodiniales; Gymnodiniaceae. The record is from RNAcentral.
CAAGUACCAUGAGGGAAAGGUGAAAAGGACUUUGAAAAGAGAGUUAAAAGUGCCUGAACUCGCUGAAAGGAAAGCGGAUGGAACCAGUCGUGCUUGGCGAGAUUGUUGCGUGCAAAGGUGACUGCUCACUGUUGCAGCGUAAGCGCAGCAGCGGGUUUCGAUCUGGUCGCGCGCGAUGCUUCUUGCCUUGUUCGUCAUCGUUGGUUUGGGGGCGCGGACAACUCUUGGGACAUGGUAACUUGCCCACGGGUGAGCGAAUGUGCCUUGCAGAACUCACCUCCAAACUGAUGUCUCUUGUUAGGUUCUGUUGCCGUAUACGGCACGUUCUUGACAAAGCGUGGUGACAGAAUGGUUCUAUUCGACCCGUCUUGAAACACGGACCAAGGAGUGUAGCGCUAGUGCAAGUACUCACAUCAACAUGUGUGUGCAAGGGAAAUCGACGGUCGUGUGAUGCGAAAGCUUGCAUGACGGCUUGCUGUGGCUUGCCACCAUUUUGCAAGAGCACGAAAUGCUACGACCCGAAAGUGGUGAACUAUUCUUGGGAUGGGCGAAGCCAGGGGAAACUCUGGUGGAGGCUUGGUGUGCUACUGAACGUG